GAUGAACGCUGGCGGCGUGCCUAAUACAUGCAAGUCGAGCGAACGGACGAGAAUCUUGCUUCUCUGAUGUUAGCGGCGGACGGGUGAGUAGCACGUGGAUAACCUACCUAUAAGACUUGGAUAACUUCGGGAAACCGGAGCCAAUACCGGAUAAUAUUUUGAACCGCAUGGUUCAAAAGUGAAAGACGGUCUUGCUGUCACUUAUAGAUGGAUCCGCGCUGCAUUAGCUAGUUGGUAAGGUAACGGCUUACCAAGGCAACGAUGCAUAGCCGACCUGAGAGGGUGGUCGGCCACACUGGAACGGAGACACGGUCCAGACUCCUACGGGAGGCAGCAGUAGGGAAGCUUGCGCAAUGGGCGAAAGCCUAACGGAGCAACGCCGCGUGAGUGAUGAAGGUCUUCGGAUCGUAAAACUCUGUUAUUUGGGAAGAACAUAUGUGUAAGUAAAUGUGCACAUCUUGACGGUACCUAAUCAGAAAGCCACGGCUAACUACGUG
RNAcentral lists this ribosomal RNA (497 nucleotides) under uncultured bacterium. RNAcentral's name for it is "partial 16S ribosomal RNA". It matches the Rfam family "Bacterial small subunit ribosomal RNA", at positions 28 to 507 of the family's 1533-position model. The record is from RNAcentral.